RNAcentral lists this ribosomal RNA (497 nucleotides) under uncultured bacterium. Its description in RNAcentral is "partial 16S ribosomal RNA". It matches the Rfam family "Bacterial small subunit ribosomal RNA", at positions 28 to 507 of the family's 1533-position model. The record is from RNAcentral.
GAUGAACGCUGGCGGCGUGCCUAAUACAUGCAAGUCGAGCGAACAGACGAGGAGCUUGCUCCUCUGACGUUAGCGGCGGACGGGUGAGUAACACGUGGAUAACCUACCUAUAAGACUGGGAUAACUUCGGGAAACCGGAGCUAAUACCGGAUAAUAUAUUGAACCGCAUGGUUCAAUAGUGAAAGACGGUUUUGCUGUCACUUAUAGAUGGAACCGCGCCGCAUUAGCUAGUUGGUAAGGUAACGGCUUACCAAGGCGACGAUGCGUAGCCGACCUGAGAGGGUGAUCGGCCACACUGGAACUGAGACACGGUCCAGACUCCUACGGGAGGCAGCAGUAGGGAAUCUUCCGCAAUGGGCGAAAGCCUGACGGAGCAACGCCGCGUGAGUGAUGAAGGUCUUCGGAUCGUAAAACUCUGUUAUUAGGGAAGAACAAAUGUGUAAGUAACUAUGCACGUCUUGACGGUACCUAAUCAGAAAGCCACGGCUAACUACGUG